CGAAGACCCUGCCAGUUUCCUGUAACACCCCAGGCUGGAGCUCAUCUCCAAUGUCUCCAACACGAGGGCCUUCAGGGGACACUUAAGAUCCAAACUAUAGAAUCUGUUUUGUAACAACGCUGAGGGACUCACUAGUGAAGACGCCAGGAAAUCCUGCCCAGUGUUGAACCCUUACAGGAGCCAGACCAGGAGCACAGCCCGUGAGUGGCACACAGCUCUGGAGGAGAGAGGUAUUUAUACCCAUGGCUGCCCUAGGUUUCCAUACUGAGCUACUCUUCAACAUUUUGAGUUCUUGAAGAAUGUCUCGUAUGCAGGGCCAGAUGCUAACCCAACGUCUCAACCUGCUUCAGGUCCAGAGACCACUCCCAGAUGUGUCCUAGGUGACCGCAAUGUCAUACAAAGCUCUGCAUUGGCUUUAUGUGUCCCAUCAUGUAGCAA
RNAcentral lists this long non-coding RNA (438 nucleotides) under Heterocephalus glaber (naked mole-rat). Its description in RNAcentral is "lncRNA (ENSHGLG00000046632.1)". The record is from RNAcentral. Lineage: Eukaryota; Metazoa; Chordata; Mammalia; Rodentia; Bathyergidae.